RNAcentral lists this transfer RNA (73 nucleotides) under Candidatus Blochmannia ocreatus (nom. nud.). Its description in RNAcentral is "Candidatus Blochmannia ocreatus tRNA-His". It matches the Rfam family "tRNA". From Rfam's summary of the family: Transfer RNA (tRNA) molecules are approximately 80 nucleotides in length. Their secondary structure includes four short double-helical elements and three loops (D, anti-codon, and T loops). The record is from RNAcentral. Lineage: Bacteria; Pseudomonadati; Pseudomonadota; Gammaproteobacteria; Enterobacterales; Enterobacteriaceae.
GUGAUUGUAGCUCAGAUGGUAGAGCUCUGGAUUGUGGUUCCAGUCGUCAUGGGUUCGAGUCCCAUCAAUCACC